GCCUCCGUGGCGCAAUGGAUUAGCGCGUUGGACUUCUAAUUCAAAGGUUGUGGGUUCGAGUCCCACCGGAGGUG
RNAcentral lists this transfer RNA (74 nucleotides) under Actinia tenebrosa (Australian red waratah sea anemone). RNAcentral describes it as "tRNA-Arg". It matches the Rfam family "tRNA". From Rfam's summary of the family: Transfer RNA (tRNA) molecules are approximately 80 nucleotides in length. Their secondary structure includes four short double-helical elements and three loops (D, anti-codon, and T loops). RNAcentral also lists the same sequence under 2 other names. Lineage: Eukaryota; Metazoa; Cnidaria; Anthozoa; Actiniaria; Actiniidae. The record is from Rfam by way of RNAcentral.